RNAcentral lists this microRNA precursor (53 nucleotides) under Jaculus jaculus (lesser Egyptian jerboa). RNAcentral's name for it is "miRNA (ENSJJAG00000002165.1)". Lineage: Eukaryota; Metazoa; Chordata; Mammalia; Rodentia; Dipodidae. The record is from RNAcentral.
CACAGGACCUGGCCCUGGCCCUGGUCCUGGCCCUGGUCCAGGUCCAGGACCAG